AGUGAACGCUGGCGGUAGGCCUAACACAUGCAAGUCGAACGGCGGCACAGUAAGAGUUUGCUCUUACGGGUGGCGAGUGGCGGACGGGUGAGGAAUACAUCGGAAUCUACUUUUUCGUGGGGGACAACGUAGGGAAACUUACGCUAAUACCGCAUACGACCUACGGGUGAAAGCAGGGGAUCUUCGGACUUUGCGCGAUUGAAUGAGCCGAUGUCGGAUUAGCUAGUUGGCGGGGUAAAGGCCCACCAAGGCGACGAUCCGUAGCUGGCCUGAGAGGAUGAUCAGCCACACUGGAACUGAGACACGGUCCAGACUCCUACGGGAGGCAGCAGUAGGGAAUAUUGGGCAAUGGGCGCAAGCCUGAUCCAGCCAUGCCGCGUGAGUGAAGAAGGCCUUCGGGUUGUAAAGCCCUUUUAUUAGGGAAGAAAAGCAGCAGGUUAAUACCCCGCUGUUCUGACGGUACCCAAAGAAUAAGCACCGGCUAACUUCGUG
RNAcentral lists this ribosomal RNA (492 nucleotides) under uncultured bacterium. Its description in RNAcentral is "partial 16S ribosomal RNA". It matches the Rfam family "Bacterial small subunit ribosomal RNA", at positions 29 to 507 of the family's 1533-position model. The record is from RNAcentral.